CCUACGGGUGGCAGCAGUAGGGAAUAUUGCUCAAUGGGGGAAACCCUGAAGCAGCAACGCCGCGUGGAGGAUGAAGGUUUUCGGAUUGUAAACUCCUUUUGUUAGAGAAGAUAAUGACGGUAUCUAACGAAUAAGCACCGGCUAACUCCGUGCCAGCAGCCGCGGUAAUACGGAGGGUGCCAGCGUUACACGGAAUCACUGGGCGUAAAGAGCGCGUAGGCGGGAUAGCAAGUCAGAUGUGAAAUUCUGUGGCUUAACCAUAGAACUGCAGUUGAAACUGUUAGUCUAGAGUAUGGGAGAGGUAGGUGGAAUUCUUGGUGUAGGGGUGAAAUGCGUAGAGAUCAAGAGGAAUACUCAUUGCGAAGGCGACCUGCUGGAACGUAACUGACGCUGAUGCGCGAAAGCGUGGGGAGCAAACAGGAUUAGAUACCCGAGUAGUC
This 440-nucleotide ribosomal RNA is filed under the name uncultured bacterium. RNAcentral describes it as "partial 16S ribosomal RNA". It matches the Rfam family "Bacterial small subunit ribosomal RNA", at positions 338 to 795 of the family's 1533-position model. The record is from RNAcentral.